Molecule: ribosomal RNA, 433 nt
Filed under: uncultured bacterium
Lineage: Bacteria
Description: partial 16S ribosomal RNA
Rfam family: Bacterial small subunit ribosomal RNA
Source: RNAcentral
AACGAACGCUGGCGGCAUGCCUAACACAUGCAAGUCGAACGAGACCUUCGGGUCUAGUGGCGCACGGGUGCGUAACGCGUGGGAAUCUACCCUCAGGUUCGGAAUAACUCAGAGAAAUUUGAGCUAAUACCGGAUGAUGACGUAAGUCCAAAGAUUUAUCGCCUGAGGAUGAGCCCGCGUAGGAUUAGGUAGUUGGUGAGGUAAAGGCUCACCAAGCCGACGAUCCUUAGCUGGUCUGAGAGGAUGAUCAGCCACACUGGGACUGAGACACGGCCCAGACUCCUGCGGGAGGCAGCAGUGGGGAAUAUUGGACAAUGGGCGAAAGCCUGAUCCAGCAAUGCCGCGUGAGUGAUGAAGGCCUUAGGGUUGUAAAGCUCUUUUACCCGGGAUGAUAAUGACAGUACCGGGAGAAUAAGCUCCGGCUAACUCCGUG